GCUGCUUAUCAACGUUUGAAAAAGAGAGUUCUGCCGGGCACGGUGGUGCGUGAGAAUCUCAGGAGUCCAGGAGUUCUGGGCUGUAGUGCGCUAUGCUGAUCGGGUGUCCACACUAAGUUCAGCAUCCAUAUGGUGACCUCCUAGGAGCAGGGGACCACCAGGUUGCCUAAGGAGGGGUGAACCGACCCAGGUCGGAAACGGAGUGGGGCAAAACUCCCUGGCUGAUCGGUAGUGGGAUCGCACCUGUGAAUAGCCACUACACUCCAGCCUGGGCAACAUAGCGAGACCCAGUCUCUU
Molecule: unclassified non-coding RNA, 297 nt
Organism: Callithrix jacchus (white-tufted-ear marmoset)
Lineage: Eukaryota; Metazoa; Chordata; Mammalia; Primates; Cebidae
Rfam family: Metazoan signal recognition particle RNA
About the family: The signal recognition particle (SRP) is a universally conserved ribonucleoprotein. It is involved in the co-translational targeting of proteins to membranes.
Source: Ensembl